CCGACCUUACUUGAACAGGAUCUGUUCUAUAGGCUCGUACAUCUGUAUCCGUGAUCACUAAGGAGACAGGAACCUAAGUCUGGAGGAUGAAUCACGACCGUACGAUUAGAGAGUGAUUAACAGCGUCGUGGCCCUUGGGCCCUUGAUGCAGUAGAGGAUCGUUCUCAGCCAUGAUCUCUUGGCUGGGAUGGUCGCACGUCUGUCUGACAGAUU
Alnus glutinosa is the source of this 213-nucleotide small nucleolar RNA. RefSeq annotates it as small nucleolar RNA U3. The record is from RefSeq and is a predicted model, not a curated record. NCBI's taxonomy places the organism in Eukaryota, Viridiplantae, Streptophyta, Magnoliopsida, Fagales, Betulaceae. The transcript has a single exon.